GACGAACGCUGGCGGCGUGCUUGACACAUGCAAGUCGAACGGAAAGGCCCUGCUUUUGUGGGGUGCUCGAGUGGCGAACGGGUGAGUAACACGUGAGUAACCUGCCCUUGACUUUGGGAUAACUUCAGGAAACUGGGGCUAAUACCGGAUAGGAGCUCCUGCUGCAUGGUGGGGGUUGGAAAGUUUCGGCGGUUGGGGAUGGACUCGCGGCUUAUCAGCUUGUUGGUGGGGUAGUGGCUUACCAAGGCUUUGACGGGUAGCCGGCCUGAGAGGGUGACCGGCCACAGUGGGACUGAGAUACGGCCCAGACUCCUACGGGAGGCAGCAGUGGGGAAUAUUGCACAAUGGGCGGAAGCCUGAUGCAGCAACGCCGCGUGCGGGAUGACGGCCUUCGGGUUGUAAACCGCUUUCGCCUGUGACGAAGCGUGAGUGACGGUAAUGGGUAAAGAAGCACCGGCUAACUACGUG
RNAcentral lists this ribosomal RNA (468 nucleotides) under uncultured bacterium. Its description in RNAcentral is "partial 16S ribosomal RNA". It matches the Rfam family "Bacterial small subunit ribosomal RNA", at positions 28 to 507 of the family's 1533-position model. The record is from RNAcentral.